RNAcentral lists this ribosomal RNA (420 nucleotides) under uncultured archaeon. RNAcentral's name for it is "partial 16S ribosomal RNA". It matches the Rfam family "Archaeal small subunit ribosomal RNA", at positions 323 to 746 of the family's 1478-position model. The record is from RNAcentral.
CUACGGGUUGCAGCAGUUAGGUAUUUUUUGCAAUGCGCGCAAGCGUGACAAAGCGAGCCAGAGUGUUCCUCAUUGAGGAACUUUUGCCAAAUGUAAAAAAUUUGGCGAAUAAGGACUGGGCAAGACCGGUGCCAGCCGCCGCGGUAAUCCCGGCGGUCCAAGUCGCAGCCACAUUUAUUGGGUCUAAAACAUCCGUAGCUUGUUUAGUAAGUCUCUUGUGAAAUCUGGCAUCUUAAGUGUCAGGCGUGCAAGAGAUACUACUAGGCUAGAGACCGGAGGAUGCGAAGAGUACGGUCAAGGUAGUGGUAAAAUACGUUAAUCUUGAUUGGACUAACGACAGCGAAGGCACUUCGCAACGACGGAUCUGACAGUGAGGGAUGAAGGCUAGGGGCGCAAAAUGGAUUAGAUACCCGGGUAGUC